AGAGGAGAAGGUGCCAUUGAUUCUGUGUGCUGUGUUGUGAGUGCUGCUGCAGGAAGCUGCAGAGAGCAUGGACAAGCUGGGAACCCACAACAUGAAUGCAGUGACCUAUGAUGAUGUGCAUGUUGGCUUCACUUGGGAAGAGUGGACUUUGCUGGAUCCUUUCCAGAGGAAUCUCUACAAAGAUGUGAUGCUGGACACCUACUGGAACCUUGCUACUAUAGGGUACAGUUGGAGAGACAAUACUACUGAUGAACAUUUUCAAAGUUCCAGAAGACAUGAAAGGUAAUUGUCUUGUGCAAAUUGAUAAAAAUGCCCCUGUGAAGAAAUUGUAAUGUGUUCUGGAAGUAUUAAACAAAUGCAACAGUGUAAAUAA
This is a non-coding RNA of Peromyscus maniculatus bairdii (prairie deer mouse), 373 nucleotides long. NCBI's taxonomy places the organism in Eukaryota, Metazoa, Chordata, Mammalia, Rodentia, Cricetidae. The record is from RefSeq and is a predicted model, not a curated record.